UGGGGAAUAUUGCACAAUGGCGGAAACCCUGAUGCAGCGACGCCGCGUGAACGAAGAAGGUAUUCGUAUCGUAAAGUUCUGUCCUAUGGGAAGAUAAUGACAGUACCAUAGAAGAAAGCUCCGGCUAAAUACGUGCCAGCAGCCGCGGUAAUACGUAUGGAGCGAGCGUUGUCCGGAAUUAUUGGGCGUAAAGGGUACGCAGGCGGUUUAAUAAGUCGAAUGUUAAAGAUCGGGGCUCAACCCCGUAAAGCAUUGGAAACUGAUAAACUUGAGUAGUGGAGAGGAAAGUGGAAUUCCUAGUGUAGUGGUGAAAUACGUAGAUAUUAGGAGGAAUACCAGUAGCGAAGGCGACUUUCUGGACACAAACUGACGCUGAGGUACGAAAGCGUGGGGAGCAAACAGG
Molecule: ribosomal RNA, 403 nt
Filed under: bacterium
Lineage: Bacteria
Description: partial 16S ribosomal RNA
Rfam family: Bacterial small subunit ribosomal RNA
Source: RNAcentral